Molecule: ribosomal RNA, 492 nt
Filed under: uncultured bacterium
Lineage: Bacteria
Description: partial 16S ribosomal RNA
Rfam family: Bacterial small subunit ribosomal RNA
Source: RNAcentral
AGUGAACGCUGGCGGUAGGCCUAACACAUGCAAGUCGAACGGCAGCACAGUAAGAGCUUGCUCUUACGGGUGGCGAGUGGCGGACGGGUGAGGAAUACAUCGGAAUCUACUUUUUCGUGGGGGAUAACGUAGGGAAACUUACGCUAAUACCGCAUACGACCUACGGGUGAAAGCAGGGGAUCUUCGGACCUUGCGCGAUUGAAUGAGCCGAUGUCGGAUUAGCUAGUUAACGGGGUAAAGGCCCACCAAGGCGACGAUCCGUAGCUGGUCUGAGAGGAUGAUCAGCCACACUGGAACUGAGACACGGUCCAGACUCCUACGGGAGGCAGCAGUGGGGAAUAUUGGACAAUGGGCGCAAGCCUGAUCCAGCCAUACCGCGUGGGUGAAGAAGGCCUUCGGGUUGUAAAGCCCUUUUGUUGGGAAAGAAAAGCAGCAGGUUAAUACCCCGCUGUUCUGACGGUACCCAAAGAAUAAGCACCGGCUAACUUCGUG